GUGGUUUAAUUCGAUGCAACGCGAAGAACCUUACCUGGUCUUGACAUCCCGGAGACCCUUAGGAACUAGGGGUGCUUCCAUCUGGAAGAAUCUGGAGACAGGUGCUGCAUGGCUGUCGUCAGCUCGUGUCGUGAGAUGUUGGGUUAAGUCCCGCAACGAGCGCAACCCUUGCCUUUAGUUGCCAGCAGUUCGGCUGGGCACUCUAAAGGGACUGCCGGUGUUAAACCGGAGGAAGGUGGGGAUGACGUCAAGUCCUCAUGGCCUUUAUGACCAGGGCUACACACGUACUACAAUGGCCGAUACAAAGGGCAGCGACACUGCGAGGUGAAGCCAAUCCCGUAAAAUCGGUCUCAGUCCGGAUUGGAGUCUGCAACUCGACUCCAUGAAGUUGGAAUCGCUAGUAAUCGUGGAUCAGCAUGCCACGGUGAAUACGUUCCCGGGCCUU
RNAcentral lists this ribosomal RNA (445 nucleotides) under uncultured Desulfobulbus sp. RNAcentral's name for it is "bacterial SSU rRNA". It matches the Rfam family "Bacterial small subunit ribosomal RNA", at positions 941 to 1382 of the family's 1533-position model. The record is from RNAcentral. Lineage: Bacteria; Pseudomonadati; Thermodesulfobacteriota; Desulfobulbia; Desulfobulbales; Desulfobulbaceae.